Molecule: small nucleolar RNA, 108 nt
Filed under: Triticum aestivum (bread wheat)
Lineage: Eukaryota; Viridiplantae; Streptophyta; Magnoliopsida; Poales; Poaceae
Also listed under: 1 other name
Description: Small nucleolar RNA Z112
Rfam family: Small nucleolar RNA Z112
About the family: Z112 is a member of the C/D class of snoRNA which contain the C (UGAUGA) and D (CUGA) box motifs. Most of the members of the box C/D family function in directing site-specific 2'-O-methylation of substrate RNAs.
Source: Rfam by way of RNAcentral
UUUCACUUCUUUUAGUUUCUGUUCUGAGAUUGUGUUUGGUCUGGGCUGGAAUCUCCAUUUGCAGCUAGUUUGGUUCAGCUGUGUGCGUGAUUUUAAGAGGGUCUCCGA